GCCUACGGGAGGCAGCAGUGGGGAAUAUUGCACAAUGGGCGCAAGCCUGAUGCAGCGACGCCGCGUGAGCGAAGAAGUAUUUCGGUAUGUAAAGCUCUAUCAGCAGGGAAGAAAAUGACGGUACCUGACUAAGAAGCUCCGGCUAACUACGUGCCAGCAGCCGCGGUAAUACGUAGGGGGCAAGCGUUAUCCGGAUUUACUGGGUGUAAAGGGAGCGUAGACGGCUGUGCAAGUCUGAAGUGAAAGCCCAGGGCUCAACCCUGGGACUGCUUUGGAAACUGUGGAGCUAGAGUGCUGGAGAGGUG
Molecule: ribosomal RNA, 305 nt
Filed under: uncultured bacterium
Lineage: Bacteria
Description: bacterial SSU rRNA
Rfam family: Bacterial small subunit ribosomal RNA
Source: RNAcentral